This 450-nucleotide ribosomal RNA is filed under the name uncultured bacterium. RNAcentral's name for it is "partial 16S ribosomal RNA". It matches the Rfam family "Bacterial small subunit ribosomal RNA", at positions 354 to 796 of the family's 1533-position model. The record is from RNAcentral.
GUGGGGAAUUUUGGACAAUGGGCGCAAGCCUGAUCCAGCCAUGCCGCGUGCAGGAUGAAGGCCUUCGGGUUGUAAACUGCUUUUGUACGGAACGAAAAGACUCUGGUUAAUACCUGGGGUCCAUGACGGUACCGUAAGAAUAAGCACCGGCUAACUACGUGCCAGCAGCCGCGGUAAUACGUAGGGUGCGAGCGUUAAUCGGAAUUACUGGGCGUAAAGCGUGCGCAGGCGGUUAUGUAAGACAGAUGUGAAAUACCCGGGCUCAACUGGGGAAGUGCAUUUGUGACUGGAUAGCUAGAGUACGGCAGAGGGGGAUGGAAUUCCGCGUGUAGCAGUGAAAUGCGUAGAUAUGCGGAGGAACACCGAUGGCGAAGGCGAUCCCCUGGGCCUGUACUGACGCUCAUGCACGAAAGCGUGGGGAGCAAACAGGAUUAGAAACCCUGGUAGUCC